GACGAACGCUGGCGGCGUGCCUAAUACAUGCAAGUAGAACGCUGAAGGAGGAGCUUGCUUCUCUGGAUGAGUUGCGAACGGGUGAGUAACGCGUAGGUAACCUGCCUGGUAGCGGGGGAUAACUAUUGGAAACGAUAGCUAAUACCGCAUAAGAGUAGAUGUUGCAUGACAUUUGCUUAAAAGGUGCAAUUGCAUCACUACCAGAUGGACCUGCGUUGUAUUAGCUAGUUGGUGGGGUAACGGCUCACCAAGGCGACGAUACAUAGCCGACCUGAGAGGGUGAUCGGCCACACUGGGACUGAGACACGGCCCAGACUCCUACGGGAGGCAGCAGUAGGGAAUCUUCGGCAAUGGACGGAAGUCUGACCGAGCAACGCCGCGUGAGUGAAGAAGGUUUUCGGAUCGUAAAGCUCUGUUGUAAGAGAAGAACGAGUGUGAGAGUGGAAAGUUCACACUGUGACGGUAUCUUACCAGAAAGGGACGGCUAACUACGG
Molecule: ribosomal RNA, 494 nt
Filed under: uncultured bacterium
Lineage: Bacteria
Description: partial 16S ribosomal RNA
Rfam family: Bacterial small subunit ribosomal RNA
Source: RNAcentral